GCCCCUAUAGUAUAGUUUGGAUAGAAUGCAACCCCGCGGAGGUUGAGACCCAGGUUCAAAUCCUGGUGGGGGCA
RNAcentral lists this transfer RNA (74 nucleotides) under Candidatus Woesearchaeota archaeon. RNAcentral describes it as "tRNA-Arg". It matches the Rfam family "tRNA". Rfam says of the family: Transfer RNA (tRNA) molecules are approximately 80 nucleotides in length. The record is from RNAcentral. Lineage: Archaea; Nanobdellati; Candidatus Woesearchaeota.